GGGUGGUUAGCUCAGUUGGGAGAGCGUUGCCCUUACAAGGCAAAUGUCGGGGGUUCAAAUCCCUCACCACCCACCA
RNAcentral lists this transfer RNA (76 nucleotides) under Pseudomonadales bacterium. RNAcentral describes it as "tRNA-Val". It matches the Rfam family "tRNA". From Rfam's summary of the family: Transfer RNA (tRNA) molecules are approximately 80 nucleotides in length. Their secondary structure includes four short double-helical elements and three loops (D, anti-codon, and T loops). Further hydrogen bonds mediate the characteristic L-shaped molecular structure. tRNAs have two regions of fundamental functional importance: the anti-codon, which is responsible for specific mRNA codon recognition, and the 3' end, to which the tRNAs corresponding amino acid is attached (by aminoacyl-tRNA synthetases). tRNAs cope with the degeneracy of the genetic code in two manners: having more than one tRNA (with a specific anti-codon) for a particular amino acid; and 'wobble' base-pairing, i.e. permitting non-standard base-pairing at the 3rd anti-codon position. The record is from RNAcentral. RNAcentral also lists the same sequence under 3 other names. Lineage: Bacteria; Pseudomonadati; Pseudomonadota; Gammaproteobacteria; Pseudomonadales.